This 301-nucleotide ribosomal RNA is filed under the name uncultured Ancylobacter sp. RNAcentral describes it as "partial 16S ribosomal RNA". It matches the Rfam family "Bacterial small subunit ribosomal RNA", at positions 504 to 795 of the family's 1533-position model. The record is from RNAcentral. Lineage: Bacteria; Pseudomonadati; Pseudomonadota; Alphaproteobacteria; Hyphomicrobiales; Xanthobacteraceae.
CGUGACCACAGGGCGGGGGUGCGCGGUAAUCUGGAGGGUGCGGUCGUUAUGCUGCUUUACGUGGUGUUAAGGGUGCGUAUGUGGAUUUGUAAGUCUGUGUUGAAAUCUCCAGGCUUAAUCUGGAAACGGCCUGGGAUACGAUAAAUCUUGGAUGUUGUGUAGGGUAGCUGAAUAUGUCAUGUAGCGGUGAAAUGCAUAGAUAUGACAUAGAACACCAAUUGCGAAGGCAGCUGGCUACACAAAUAUUGACGCUGAGGCACGAAAGCGUGGGGAUCAAACAGGAUUAGAUACCCUUGUAGUC